Molecule: ribosomal RNA, 567 nt
Filed under: uncultured bacterium
Lineage: Bacteria
Description: bacterial SSU rRNA
Rfam family: Bacterial small subunit ribosomal RNA
Source: RNAcentral
CCUACGGGAGGCAGCAGUGGGGAAUAUUGCACAAUGGGCGCAAGCCUGAUGCAGCGACGCCGCGUGAGGGAUGACGGCCUUCGGGUUGUAAACCUCUUUCAGCAGGGACGAAGCGCAAGUGACGGUACCUGCAGAAGAAGCACCGGCCAACUACGUGCCAGCAGCCGCGGUAAUACGUAGGGUGCAAGCGUUGUCCGGAAUUACUGGGCGUAAAGNGCUCGUAGGCGGUUUGUCGCGUCGUCUGUGAAAACCAGCAGCUCAACUGUUGGCUUGCAGGCGAUACGGGCAGACUUGAGUAUUUCAGGGGGAGACUGGAAUUCCUGGUGUAGCGGUGAAAUGCGCAGAUAUCAGGAGGAACACCGGUGGCGAAGGCGGGUCUCUGGGAAAUAACUGACGCUGAGGAGCGAAAGCGUGGGUAGCGAACAGGAUUAGAUACCCUGGUAGUCCACGCCGUAAACGGUGGCGCUAGGUGUGGGUUUCCUUCCACGGGUAUCCGUGCCGUAGCUAACGCAUUAAGCGCCCCGCCUGGGAGUACGGCCGNAGGCUAAAACGUCAAGGAAUUGACGG